ACUCCUACGGGAGGCAGCAGUGGGGAAUAUUGCACAAUGGGCGCAAGCCUGAUGCAGCCAUGCCGCGUGUAUGAAGAAGGCCUUCGGGUUGUAAGUACUUUCAGCAGUGAGGAAGGUGGGUAUGUUAAUAGCAUACUCAUUUGACGUUAGCUGCAGAAGAAGCACCGGCUAACUCCGUGCCAGCAGCCGCGGUAAUACGGAGGGUGCGAGCGUUAAUCGGAAUUACUGGGCGUAAAGCGCAUGCAGGUGGUUUGUUAAGUCAGAUGUGAAAGCCCGGGGCUCAACCUCGGAAUUGCAUUUGAAACUGGCAAACUAGGAGUACUGUAGAGGGGGGUAGAAUUUCAGGUGUAGCGGUGAAAUGCGUAGAGAUCUGAAGGAAUACCGGUGGCGAAGGCGGCCCCCUGGACAGAUACUGACACUCAGAUGCGAAAGCGUGGGGAGCAAACAGGAUUAGAUACCCUGGUAGGCUCU
Molecule: ribosomal RNA, 471 nt
Filed under: uncultured bacterium
Lineage: Bacteria
Description: bacterial SSU rRNA
Rfam family: Bacterial small subunit ribosomal RNA
Source: RNAcentral